RNAcentral lists this ribosomal RNA (424 nucleotides) under Verrucomicrobiota bacterium. Its description in RNAcentral is "Verrucomicrobia bacterium partial 16S ribosomal RNA". It matches the Rfam family "Bacterial small subunit ribosomal RNA", at positions 355 to 776 of the family's 1533-position model. Lineage: Bacteria; Pseudomonadati; Verrucomicrobiota. The record is from RNAcentral.
UGAGGAAUAUUGGUCAAUGGACGCAAGUCUGAACCACCCAAGUAGCGUGCAGGAUGACGGCCCUAUGGGUUGUAAACUGCUUUUAUAUGGGGAUAAAGUGGGGAACGUGUUCCCUUUUGCAGGUACCAUAUGAAUAAGGACCGGCUAAUUCCGUGCCAGCAGCCGCGGUAAUACGGAAGGUUCGGGCGUUAUCCGGAUUUAUUGGGUUUAAAGGGAGCGUAGGCCGUUUGGUAAGCGUGUUGUGAAAUGUAGGAGCUCAACUUCUAGAUUGCAGAGCGAACUGUCAGACUUGGAUGCGCACAAAGUAGGCGGAAUUCAUGGUGUAGCGGUGAAAUGCUUAGAUAUCAUGAAGAACUCCGAUUGCGAAGGCAGCUUACGGGAGCGCAACUGGCGGUGAAGCUCGAAGGUGCGGGUAUCGAACAGG